AAUCCAUAGGUUAAUGAGGCGAACCGGGGGAACUGAAACAUCUAAGUACCCCGAGGAAAAGAAAUCAACCGAGAUUCCCCCAGUAGCGGCGAGCGAACGGGGAGGAGCCCAGAGCCUGAAUCAGUGUGUGUGUUAGUGGAAGCGUCUGGAAAGGCGCGCGAUACAGGGUGACAGCCCCGUACACAAAAAUGCACAUGCUGUGAGCUCGAUGAGUAGGGCGGGACACGUGGUAUCCUGUCUGAAUAUGGGGGGACCAUCCUCCAAGGCUAAAUACUCCUGACUGACCGAUAGUGAACCAGUACCGUGAGGGAAAGGCGAAAAGAACCCCGGCGAGGGGAGUGAAAAAGAACCUGAAACCGUGUACGUACAAGCAGUGGGAGCACAGAGCAAUCUGUGUGACUGCGUACCUUUUGUAUAAUGGGUCAGCGACUUAUAUUCUGUAGCAAGGUUAACCGAAUAGGGGAGCCGAAGGGAAACCGAGUCUUAACUGGGCGUUAAGUUGCAGGGUAUAGACCCGAAACCCGGUGAUCUAGCCAUGGGCAGGUUGAAGGUUGGGUAACACUAACUGGAGGACCGAACCGACUAAUGUUGAAAAAUUAGCGGAUGACUUGUGGCUGGGGGUGAAAGGCCAAUCAAACCGGGAGAUAGCUGGUUCUCCCCGAAAGCUAUUUAGGUAGCGCCUCGUGAAUUCAUCUCCGGGGGUAGAGCACUGUUUCGGCAAGGGGGUCAUCCCGACUUACCAACCCGAUGCAAACUGCGAAUACCGGAGAAUGUUAUCACGGGAGACACACGGCGGGUGCUAACGUCCGUCGUGAAGAGGGAAACAACCCAGACCGCCAGCUAAGGUCCCAAAGUCAUGGUUAAGUGGGAAACGAUGUGGGAAGGCCCAGACAGCCAGGAUGUUGGCUUAGAAGCAGCCAUCAUUUAAAGAAAGCGUAAUAGCUCACUGGUCGAGUCGGCCUGCGCGGAAGAUGUAACGGGGCUAAACCAUGCACCGAAGCUGCGGCAGCGACACUAUGUGUUGUUGGGUAGGGGAGCGUUCUGUAAGCCUGUGAAGGUGUGCUGUGAGGCAUGCUGGAGGUAUCAGAAGUGCGAAUGCUGACAUAAGUAACGAUAAAGCGGGUGAAAAGCCCGCUCGCCGGAAGACCAAGGGUUCCUGUCCAACGUUAAUCGGGGCAGGGUGAGUCGACCCCUAAGGCGAGGCCGAAAGGCGUAGUCGAUGGGAAACAGGUUAAUAUUCCUGUACUUGGUGUUACUGCGAAGGGGGGACGGAGAAGGCUAUGUUGGCCGGGCGACGGUUGUCCCGGUUUAAGCGUGUAGGCUGGUUUUCCAGGCAAAUCCGGAAAAUCAAGGCUGAGGCGUGAUGACGAGGCACUACGGUGCUGAAGCAACAAAUGCCCUGCUUCCAGGAAAAGCCUCUAAGCAUCAGGUAACAUCAAAUCGUACCCCAAACCGACACAGGUGGUCAGGUAGAGAAUACCAAGGCGCUUGAGAGAACUCGGGUGAAGGAACUAGGCAAAAUGGUGCCGUAACUUCGGGAGAAGGCACGCUGAUAUGUAGGUGAAGCGACUUGCUCGUGGAGCUGAAAUCAGUCGAAGAUACCAGCUGGCUGCAACUGUUUAUUAAAAACACAGCACUGUGCAAACACGAAAGUGGACGUAUACGGUGUGACGCCUGCCCGGUGC
Molecule: ribosomal RNA, 1685 nt
Filed under: Escherichia coli
Lineage: Bacteria; Pseudomonadati; Pseudomonadota; Gammaproteobacteria; Enterobacterales; Enterobacteriaceae
Description: partial 23S ribosomal RNA
Rfam family: Bacterial large subunit ribosomal RNA
Source: RNAcentral